RNAcentral lists this ribosomal RNA (85 nucleotides) under Phlebotomus papatasi. RNAcentral's name for it is "partial 5.8S ribosomal RNA". The record is from RNAcentral. Lineage: Eukaryota; Metazoa; Arthropoda; Insecta; Diptera; Psychodidae.
CGACAUUUUGAACGCAUAUUGCGGUCCAUGCAAAAGUUUAAAUUUUUGUUUAAACUGCAUGGACCACGUAUGGUUGAGUGUCGUA